RNAcentral lists this ribosomal RNA (429 nucleotides) under uncultured bacterium. Its description in RNAcentral is "bacterial SSU rRNA". It matches the Rfam family "Bacterial small subunit ribosomal RNA", at positions 29 to 506 of the family's 1533-position model. The record is from RNAcentral.
GCGAACGCUGGCGGCAGGCUUAACACAUGCAAGUCGAACGCCCCGCAAGGGGAGUGGCAGACGGGUGAGUAACACGUGGGAACGUACCUUUUGGUUCGGAACAACACAGGGAAACUUGUGCUAAUACCGGAUAAGCCCUUACGGGGAAAGAUUUAUCGCCAAAAGAUCGGCCCGCGUCUGAUUAGCUAGUUGGUGAGGUAAAGGCUCACCAAGGCGACGAUCAGUAGCUGGUCUGAGAGGAUGAUCAGCCACACUGGGACUGAGACACGGCCCAGACUCCUACGGGAGGCAGCAGUGGGGAAUAUUGGAGAAUGGGCGCAAGCCUGAUCCAGCCAUGCCGCGUGAGUGAUGAAGGCCCUAGGGUUGUAAAGCUCUUUUGUGCGGGAAGAUAAUGACGGUACCGCAAGAAUAAGCCCCGGCUAACUUCGU